This 240-nucleotide unclassified non-coding RNA is filed under the name soil metagenome. Its description in RNAcentral is "partial contains 5.8S ribosomal RNA, internal transcribed spacer 2, and large subunit ribosomal RNA". The record is from RNAcentral.
AACCUUAUGGACCUGCGGGCGUAUACCUGCGGAGGGAUCAUUACAGAGUGUUUAACCCCCUAUAAAAUGGUGGGUCUAACCUCCCGUCCUUUGCUGGGUCCCCCUUCUGGAGGACUUUCAAAACUUUCUGCUUCGGCGGGGUAUACCCGCCGGAACACCCUCAAAAAAUUCUUGAUCAAAAUGGUUCGGUCCGAGAAACUUUUUGUGAAAAUUAGCGAAAAACUUUCAACAACGGAUCUC